Molecule: long non-coding RNA, 172 nt
Organism: Olea europaea var. sylvestris
Lineage: Eukaryota; Viridiplantae; Streptophyta; Magnoliopsida; Lamiales; Oleaceae
Exons: 2
Source: RefSeq, a predicted model, not a curated record
AAAAAACAAAGAAUUUUGCUUCCAUUUACGGGAAUACAAAUGAUUCUCAUGACAGGGAAGUGCCGGAUGAGGUGUACAAAAGUUUGGAUGCGGUUGGAGAGGGUGAAAAUUGGUGGGAGGCUGUUGAGCUGCAAAAACUGAUCCUAGCUCAUAAUGAUAUUGAGGCGGUGAA